UUUCUCAUAUAUUUAGCUCACACAAACACAAACAAAGAACAGCUGAUGACGUUUGUUAUUUUGUGCGCGUCGCUUAUUUUAGACUUUUUUCGCACAAAACAAAAAUCUUAAAUGAAAACUAUUUUUUACGGCCUUAGCAUAAAUAAAGGCGCUACUUGUAUAUGUGAGGUUCCCAUAUCCGCAACGCAUCCAUUUUCACACAAAUCUUUAGUCUCUCUCCAAAAACAAUAACAAUGUAACCGUUUGCCGAAUGGGAGAGACGAGUGCGGCUAUCUCUGUUGCACUUUCUGCGCUGGCUCAGCUGUUUUCGAUUUCUUAGUUACGGGAGAAUCGCACUCAGUCAGUUUGUUUUGAAAAGGGGAUUUCCAAAAAUUGUAUCUUAGGUAUAUUUUGUUAAGCUACAUUAUUUAAAAAAAAAUUUGUGCUAAAAUUGACAUUUCCUAGAGAAAAGCUUUUACCAAACAUUUAAAAUGAUACCAAUUUAUUAUCCAAAAAAAAGAUAAAUUGUUUUAAAAAAAAAGAAGCGGAAAGUAAAGUAAAAGAAAGAAAAGUUAAAUUUAAAAUUAGGUCAUAUCGAAAAUAAUUGAAAAUGUUAAACUAAGUGAAAUGUUCUCCUUUUGCAACAAGUUGGUGAAUUGCAAUAUAACAGUGUGUGUGUGUGUGUGUGUGUGUGUAAAUGG
This is a non-coding RNA of Drosophila suzukii, 680 nucleotides long. The record is from RefSeq and is a predicted model, not a curated record. NCBI's taxonomy places the organism in Eukaryota, Metazoa, Arthropoda, Insecta, Diptera, Drosophilidae.